This 253-nucleotide ribosomal RNA is filed under the name uncultured bacterium. Its description in RNAcentral is "partial 16S ribosomal RNA". It matches the Rfam family "Bacterial small subunit ribosomal RNA", at positions 524 to 776 of the family's 1533-position model. The record is from RNAcentral.
UACGUAGGGGGCAAGCGUUAUCCGGAUUUACUGGGUGUAAAGGGAGCGUAGACGGCAGCGCAAGUCUGGAGUGAAAUGCCGGGGCCCAACCCCGGAACUGCUUUGGAAACUGUGCAGCUCGAGUGCAGGAGAGGUAAGCGGAAUUCCUAGUGUAGCGGUGAAAUGCGUAGAUAUUAGGAGGAACACCAGUGGCGAAGGCGGCUUACUGGACUGUAACUGACGUUGAGGCUCGAAAGCGUGGGGAGCAGACAGG